Molecule: RNA transcript, 3939 nt
Organism: Daucus carota subsp. sativus
Lineage: Eukaryota; Viridiplantae; Streptophyta; Magnoliopsida; Apiales; Apiaceae
Gene name: proline-rich receptor-like protein kinase PERK9
Exons: 10
Source: RefSeq, a predicted model, not a curated record
GUCUUCAUGCUAGCACACUCUACAGGCUACACUGCUAGUCAACAAAACCAGUAGACCCAUUAAACAUAAAAAAAUAUAGCUGGUUUUUACAUGUUACAACAAAAGACUUUAUUCUCUUGUUAUCACUUUAGUUUUGCAUUUCUUGACAGCCCUUUGUUGAGUUUCAAUGAUUCAACAAGUUUCUUCUGGUCUGCCUCAACACUCUCUGUCAAGGAAUUGCUAAUGUUAGAGACUCAUCAACAAAAAGGUUCAAACAGUCUUUUGUAGAUUUUGGGAGUCCGGAUAAGAAUUUUGCAAGUUUGGAUUUUGGAUGUUGCUUUCCAAUUGUGAUCUUGGGUUUUGCUCAAAAUGUUUGAUUCUGUAGGGUCAAACAAUCGUUUGUAAAUCUUGGGAGUGCUAUCAAGAACUUUGCAGUUUAGAAUUUUUGAUGUUGUUUUGCAAUUAGUGAUCUUGGGUUUUGGUCAAAAAAUGUUUACUUUUGUAAGUUCGGACAGUCUUUUGUGAAUACUGGUGAUGUAGAAUUGCAAUACCUGAAUCUUGAUGCUUUUGGGUAUUUUACUGAUUAAUGGCAACAUCAACAUCUCCAAAUCCUCAACCAUCUGCUGUUCCACCAGUGUCUACCACUUCUCCGCAACCUCUUAAAUUGUCUCCACCAGCCCCUUCAUUUCCCUUGCCUGAUCCCAGUGCAACUUCCCCAGCUGCAACUCCAAACAAUCCACCUCAAGCCCCUACUUCCGUAAAUUCGACAGCUCUUCCACCAGGCUCACUACCAUCUCCCCCUCCAGAACAAUCUGUAGCUGCAACACCACCACCACAAUCUAGAGCUUCACCACCACCGAAACCAUCAAAACCUGUACCACCACCAGAGCAAUCUAUAACAUCACCACCACCAGAACAGCCUAUAGCUACACCACCACCGGAACAGCCUAUAGCUACACCACCACCGGAACAGCCUAUAGCUACACCACCACCGGAACAGCCUAUAGCUACACCACCACCGGAACAGCCUAUAGCUACACCACCACCAGAACAGCCUAUAGCUACACCACCACCAGAACAGCCUUUAACUUCACCACCACCAGAACAAACUAUAACUUCACCACCAGCACCACCACAAAACUCUGUAACUUCAGCCCCUCCACCUCAUUUAGGUAAUGUCCCACCCCCAUCAGAAAUUUCACCACCACCAUUACCUAAUUCUGAAACACCUCCUAGAUCAACUUCCCCGACUACUUCCCCACUACCUCCAUCAGUCCCUCUUGUUGCUUCACCCCCAAGCCCUCCAUCACCUUUACCGGUUUCACCAAGCAAACCAACACCUUCAGUAAAAUCGCCAUCACCAGAACCUCCACCAAGUCCAUCACAAAAACCUGUCAAACAUUCAAAUAAUUCACAAAGCCCACCUUCCCUGCCUCCAGAAAAUUCACCACCAGCGCAAACUAAACGUCCUAAAAUUUCAAGUCCUUCGCCCCCACCUCCUGUUAAAAGCCCUCAUUCAGCACCUCCGGAUUCUUCAGUGUCCUCAAAUAUUUCUCUCAAAGUAUCUCCUCCGCCAUCCCCAAAAUAUAAUCUUAAUGUAUCUCCUCCGCCAUCAAUCAAUCCGGUUACCAAUACAUCAGCAAAGUUGAAGUCCACAGAAAGUGCCGGCAUUGGCACUGGCGGUACAGUAGCCAUUGUUUUGGUGUUAGGUCUCAUACUGAUUAGCCUGAUUGCAGCAGCUGUUUUUUGUAUAAGAAAGAGGAAGAGAAAUUUCUCUCUCAUGAAGGGCGAUCACAUUAUACCAACCUCAUUCAGCUGUUCGCCAAAGUCAGAUUCCGCCUUAUUAAAGGUGCCAACAAAUGAAACUCACAGUGGAAGUUAUAUGGGCAAUGAGGUCGUGUAUUCACCAACAGAGUCUAGCAGACUGGGAAAUUCAAGGCCUUGGUUUACUUAUGCAGAAAUUGUGGAUGCUACCAAUGGGUUUUCACCACACAAUCUACUAGGUGAAGGUGGAUUUGGGUGUGUCUACAAAGGAUACCUAGUGGAUGGAAGGGAGAUAGCAGUGAAGCAGUUAAAUGUUGGGGGAGGACAAGGUGAACGAGAAUUUAAAGCUGAAGUUGAAAUUAUAAGUCGCGUACAUCACCGCCAUCUGGUUUCACUAGUUGGUUACUGCAUUUCCGAAAAUCAAAGGCUGCUCGUCUAUGAUUAUGUCCCUAACAAUAACCUUUACUUUCACCUUCAAGAGGAAGGUAGGCCAGUAAUGGAAUGGACAAAACGAGUAAAGGUGGCUGCUGGUGCAGCUCGUGGAAUCGCCUAUCUCCAUGAAGAUUGCCAUCCUCGCAUUAUACAUCGAGAUAUUAAAUCAUCAAAUAUUCUUUUAGAUAACAGUUUUGAAGCACAGGUGUCUGAUUUUGGGCUUGCUAAGCUAGCUUGGGAUGUAACACAUGUAACAACACGUGUUAUUGGGACCUUUGGCUACAUGGCACCUGAAUAUGCUGCAAGUGGAAUGUUGACUGAGAAAUCAGAUGUCUACUCUUUUGGUGUUGUGCUUCUGGAGCUCAUUACGGGACGCAAGCCUGUAGAUGCAACUCAACCCUCAGGAAACGAGAGUUUAGUUGAAUGGGCUCGGCCUUUACUUAGUGCUGCACUUGACAACGGGGAUUUAAGAGGUUUAGCUGACCCAGGACUUGGAAAUGACUAUGUUGACCAUGAAAUGUUUAAAUUAGUAGAAGUUGCUGCAGCAUGCGUUCGACAUGCAGCUGCAAAGAGACCACGAAUGGGGCAGGUCGUGCGAGAGUUUGAUAGUAUGGCUGCUUCAGAUCUGAGCAAUGGGAUGAAAGUUGGUGAAAGUGAAAUAUUUAACUCCGGAUUUAAAUCUGCUGAAAUUAGAUUUUUCCAGAGAAUGCAAGUUUCUAGUAAAGAUCACAGUACAGAUUCUUUUAGUAGUAGCUGGAAUUUUUCGUAGGACAGAGUACAUAUGACCUAGCUCAAUUAUAUUCCUGAAAGGGCAUAGACUGAGUUAUUUUGCAUUUAAGCUCAGAAGAAAACUCAGCUGAGAGUAGUCCGAAGUUGAAUGCAUGAUCUCAACAGGAGCCGAGCUAGCUGGUUGCUUAUGAAAAGGAAACAAGCAAAGGGCAGAUAGAGACUUUAAUACGCAUGGUAUCUUUCUUGGAAAGUCAGAGCUGCAAGACAUCAUAAAAAGAUCUCAAGGUAUCUUUAUAAGGUUAACUGCAAGCCAUAGACAAUGGUGACAGCUGAUGUUUUCUUGUACUCUACUCUUCUUUCAUUAGUUAAAUGUCCUGGGAUGUUGGCUUUGGGAUUUAUAAUAACACACACGCAGAUUUGGUUAGUUUAGAUUUUAGAAGCUUGACAAGUUUCUAACUUGCAUUGCUUCGCGCUUGCUAAAAUCCAGGAAUCCAUUUCUCCGCAGGAUAUGACAUGUUUUCUGUAUUUGCCUUUGUCAAGACGACGUUAAACAAGCCAUGGAAGACUUGAACAUGAUAGCUGCAGACUGUAUUGUCAUAUCCUGUUGCUGCCAGUGCUUGGUUUUACAGAUUGUCGUGUUCAUCUUGCUCUAACUUCCUUAUAAGCUAAUCCGAAAGGCCAAACAGUACGUCAAGAAGCUGAGGAACAGUAAGAAAGAAGCAAACACGAUCACAAGACAGUUGAGUGGAUUCAGCAUCGACGAGGUCCUCAGAAGCCACUCAGGGUCGUUUAGGAUUAAAUUCGAAAGCAUUUUGUCAGAGGAAUGUUGUGGUAACUGCAUGGACGAAAUCGAGAAGGCCUUGGAGGACAUGUCUGGAAAUGGUGAGUUUGCAUUCGGAAGCUUUUGGAAGGGGGACAACUUGGAAGAGAGCUUCCCAGCUUUUGUUGUACAAAUCUUCAACUCCCUAAAUUGCAAUACAACAUGAUUACAUAUAAACUUAGCACUAGCAUUCUAGCAACUUCAUAUUUUGCUCA